CAACGCCCCUGGGGUAAGUGGGCUGCUGAAAUCAGAGAUCCUAUUAAGGGUGCCCGUGUUUGGCUUGGUACUUUCAACAGUGCUGAAGAAGCUGCAAGAGCUUAUGAUGUUGAAGCACAUAGGAUCCGUGGCAAGAAGGCCAAGCUUAACUUUCCAGAU
Molecule: ribosomal RNA, 159 nt
Filed under: Triticum aestivum (bread wheat)
Lineage: Eukaryota; Viridiplantae; Streptophyta; Magnoliopsida; Poales; Poaceae
Description: partial small subunit ribosomal RNA
Source: RNAcentral